This 188-nucleotide ribosomal RNA is filed under the name uncultured bacterium. RNAcentral's name for it is "partial 16S ribosomal RNA". It matches the Rfam family "Bacterial small subunit ribosomal RNA", at positions 340 to 520 of the family's 1533-position model. The record is from RNAcentral.
UACGGGAGGCGACAGUAGGGAAUCUUCCGCAAUGGACGAAAGUCUGACGGAGCAACGCCGCGUGAGCGAAGAAGGCCUUCGGGUCGUAAAGCUCUGUUGUCAGGGAAGAACAAGUACCGGAGUAACUGCCGGUACCUUGACGGUACCUGACGAGAAAGCCACGGCUAACUACGUGCCAGCAGCCGCGG